RNAcentral lists this ribosomal RNA (750 nucleotides) under uncultured bacterium. Its description in RNAcentral is "bacterial SSU rRNA". It matches the Rfam family "Bacterial small subunit ribosomal RNA", at positions 41 to 754 of the family's 1533-position model. The record is from RNAcentral.
GGGGGGCAAAAAUGCAGGUCGAGCGAGCUUGCCUAGAUGAUUUUAGUGCUUGCACUAAAUGAAACUAGAUACAAGCGAGCGGCGGACGGGUGAGUAACACGUGGGUAACCUGCCCAAGAGACUGGGAUAACACCUGGAAACAGAUGCUAAUACCGGAUAACAACACUAGACGCAUGUCUAGAGUUUGAAAGAUGGUUCUGCUAUCACUCUUGGAUGGACCUGCGGUGCAUUAGCUAGUUGGUAAGGUAACGGCUUACCAAGGCAAUGAUGCAUAGCCGAGUUGAGAGACUGAUCGGCCACAUUGGGACUGAGACACGGCCCAAACUCCUACGGGAGGCAGCAGUAGGGAAUCUUCCACAAUGGACGAAAGUCUGAUGGAGCAACGCCGCGUGAGUGAAGAAGGGUUUCGGCUCGUAAAGCUCUGUUGGUAGUGAAGAAAGAUAGAGGUAGUAACUGGCCUUUAUUUGACGGUAAUUACUUAGAAAGUCACGGCUAACUACGUGCCAGCAGCCGCGGUAAUACGUAGGUGGCAAGCGUUGUCCGGAUUUAUUGGGCGUAAAGCGAGUGCAGGCGGUUCAAUAAGUCUGAUGUGAAAGCCUUCGGCUCAACCGGAGAAUUGCAUCAGAAACUGUUGAACUUGAGUGCAGAAGAGGAGAGUGGAACUCCAUGUGUAGCGGUGGAAUGCGUANAUAUAUGGAAGAACACCAGUGGCGAAGGCGGCUCUCUGGUCUGCAACUGACGCUGAGGCUC